RNAcentral lists this ribosomal RNA (425 nucleotides) under uncultured Methylocystis sp. RNAcentral's name for it is "bacterial SSU rRNA". It matches the Rfam family "Bacterial small subunit ribosomal RNA", at positions 39 to 510 of the family's 1533-position model. The record is from RNAcentral. Lineage: Bacteria; Pseudomonadati; Pseudomonadota; Alphaproteobacteria; Hyphomicrobiales; Methylocystaceae.
GCGGCAGGCCUAACACAUGCAAGUCGAACGCUGUAGCAAUACAGAGUGGCAGACGGGUGAGUAACGCGUGGGAACAUGCCCUUCGGUUCGGAAUAACUCAGGGAAACUUGAGCUAAUACCGGAUACGCCCUUAGGGGGAAAGAUUUAUUGCCGAAGGAUUGGCCCGCGUCCGAUUAGCUAGUUGGUGAGGUAAUGGCUCACCAAGGCGACGAUCGGUAGCUGGUCUGAGAGGAUGAUCAGCCACACUGGGACUGAGACACGGCCCAGACUCCUACGGGAGGCAGCAGUGGGGAAUAUUGGACAAUGGGCGCGAGCCUGAUCCAGCCAUGCCGCGUGAGUGAUGAAGGCCCUAGGGUUGUAAAGCUCUUUCGCCAGGGACGAUAAUGACGGUACCUGGAUAAGAAGCCCCGGCUAACUUCGUGCCA